CGAAGGGUGCAAGCGUUAAUCGGAAUUACUGGGCGUAAAGGGUGCGUAGGCGGUUAUUUAAGUCUGCCGUGAAAUCCCCGGGCUCAACCUGGGAAUGGCGGUGGAUACUGGAUAGCUAGAGUGUGUCAGAGGAUGGUGGAAUUCCCGGUGUAGCGGUGAAAUGCGUAGAGAUCGGGAGGAACAUCAGUGGCGAAGGCGGCCAUCUGGGACAACACUGACGCUGAAGCACGAAAGCGUGGGGAGCAAACAGGAUUAGAUACCCUGGUAGUCCACGCCCUAAACGAUGCGAACUGGAUGUUGGUCUCAACUCGGAGAUCAGUGUCGAAGCUAACGCGUUAAGUUCGCCGCCUGGGGAGUACGGUCGCAAGACUG
Molecule: ribosomal RNA, 372 nt
Filed under: uncultured organism
Description: bacterial SSU rRNA
Rfam family: Bacterial small subunit ribosomal RNA
Source: RNAcentral